CAGUCGCCACGGGAAUACAGAGGGUGCGAGCGUUAAUCGGAUUUACUGGGCGUAAAGCGUGCGUAGGCGGCUUCUUAAGUCGGAUGUGAAAUCCCUGAGCUUAACUUAGGAAUUGCAUUCUAUACUGGGAAGCUAGAGUAUGGGAGAGGAUGGUAGAAUUCCAGGUGUAGCGGUGAAAUGCGUAGAGAUCUGGAGGAAUACCGAUGGCGAAGGCAGCCAUCUGGCCUAAUACUGACGCUGAGGUACGAAAGCAUGGGGAGCAAACAGGAUUAGAUACCCCUGUAGUCCCUGUCUCUUAUAC
This 301-nucleotide ribosomal RNA is filed under the name uncultured bacterium. RNAcentral's name for it is "partial 16S ribosomal RNA". It matches the Rfam family "Bacterial small subunit ribosomal RNA", at positions 509 to 807 of the family's 1533-position model. The record is from RNAcentral.